This 70-nucleotide small nuclear RNA is filed under the name Sus scrofa (pig). The record is from RNAcentral. Lineage: Eukaryota; Metazoa; Chordata; Mammalia; Artiodactyla; Suidae.
GCUCUCUUAGCAGUACAUAUACUAAAAGUGAAACGAUACAGAGAAGAUUAGCAUGGCCCCUGUGCAAGGA